Molecule: long non-coding RNA, 441 nt
Organism: Archocentrus centrarchus (flier cichlid)
Lineage: Eukaryota; Metazoa; Chordata; Actinopteri; Cichliformes; Cichlidae
Exons: 3
Source: RefSeq, a predicted model, not a curated record
CUAUAAUGCAGUGUUAAUGAAAAUUCUCCAAACUGAGUGUAAAAAAGUACUCUGAAAAGCUCCGCCCCCUUGCACUUUGUGCCAGACCGAAGAGAAUUUUAUCGGCGCCAUUUUCAACUUCUCCGCCUUGCUGGAAAAGUCUCGGACAGCACCACCACAACAUGUGAGAGAGAUGUAUGCUCAAGGCAUGAUUGAAAAGUUCCCAAACCUGCGUGAUCCUUAUUCCAAAAAUGGAUAUUGGCUACUUAGCAUGGAGGCUUAAAACCAUCCAGAGGAAGAGCACCUUAUCAGAGGGGAGAAGAUCAUCAUGUCAGCUGACUGGGUGUGGACCAACAGCCAGAGGAGAUGCUUCAUUUAACCCUGAGGUGACCCUAAGAGAAGAGCCAUAUAAGGAAGCUAAUUCCUUCAUGAAAUACUCUUCUGAUGAGGCCGCCAUCAGGA